Molecule: ribosomal RNA, 213 nt
Filed under: Rhopalapion longirostre
Lineage: Eukaryota; Metazoa; Arthropoda; Insecta; Coleoptera; Brentidae
Description: partial large subunit ribosomal RNA
Rfam family: Bacterial large subunit ribosomal RNA (bases 1-158)
Source: RNAcentral
UAUUUUUUUUUAGAGUUCAAAUUAAAAGAAAAGAUUGCGACCUCGAUGUUGGAUUAAAAUUUAUAUUUGGUGUAGCAGCUAAAAUAUUGGGUCUGUUCGACCUUUAAAAUUUUACAUGAUCUGAGUUUAAACCGGUGUGAGCCAGGUUGGUUUCUAUCUCGAAAAAUUUAAUAUAUUUUAGUACGAAAGGACCAAAUAUAUAAUUAAAAGUUU